AGAGUUUGAUCAUGGCUCAGAACGAACGUUGAUGGCGUGCCUCAUACAUGCAAGUCGAGCGGGUAGCAAUACCAGCGGCGCACGGGUGAGUAACACGUAAAGAAUCUGCCUUAAAGUGGGGAAUAACUAUCCCAACGGAUAGCUAAUACCGCAUAAGGAUGAGGGAGGCAUCUCCCUUUCUCGAAAGGCUUCGGCCGCUUUAGGAUGACUUUGCGUCCCAUUAGCUUGUUGGCGGUGUAACGGACCACCAAGGCGACGAUGGGUAUCCGGCCUGAGAGGGUGUACGGACACAUUGGGACUGAGAUACGGCCCAGACUCCUACGGGAGGCAGCAGUGGGGAAUCUUGCGCAAUGGGCGAAAGCCUGACGCAGCGACGCCGCGUGAGGGAAGAAGGCCUUCGGGUUGUAAACCUCUUUCAGGAGGGACGAAGCCACUCGGGUUAAUAGCCCAGAGGGUGACGGUACCUCCAGAAGAAGCCCCGGCUAACUACGUGCCAGCCGCCGCGGUAAUAC
Molecule: ribosomal RNA, 512 nt
Filed under: uncultured bacterium
Lineage: Bacteria
Description: bacterial SSU rRNA
Rfam family: Bacterial small subunit ribosomal RNA
Source: RNAcentral